UACGGGGGGGGCAAGCGUUGUUCGGAAUUACUGGGCGUAAAGGGUUCGUAGGUGGCCAACUAAGUCAUACGUGAAAUCCCUCAGCUUAACUGGGGAACUGCGUCUGAUACUGGUUGGCUUGAGUGCAGGAGAGGAACGCGGAAUUCCAGGUGUAGCGGUGAAAUGCGUAGAUAUCUGGAGGAACACCGGUGGCGAAGGCGGCAUCCUGGACCGGUAUUGACGCUGAGGCGCGAAAGCCAGGGGAGCAAACGGG
Molecule: ribosomal RNA, 253 nt
Filed under: uncultured bacterium
Lineage: Bacteria
Description: partial 16S ribosomal RNA
Rfam family: Bacterial small subunit ribosomal RNA
Source: RNAcentral